AGCUCAUGAUUUGGGCAUUGGGAUAGCUCCCCAUUAAACCUCUCCCAAGCUUCAAACAAUGGUUCUUCAUUUAUUUACCUGAGGUU
RNAcentral lists this small nucleolar RNA (86 nucleotides) under Capsicum annuum. Its description in RNAcentral is "Plant small nucleolar RNA R71". It matches the Rfam family "Plant small nucleolar RNA R71". From Rfam's summary of the family: R71 is a member of the C/D box family of snoRNAs containing the C (UGAUGA) and D (CUGA) box motifs. The record is from Rfam by way of RNAcentral. Lineage: Eukaryota; Viridiplantae; Streptophyta; Magnoliopsida; Solanales; Solanaceae.